AUUUUGUUGAGUGAACUUGGAGGAAAGAGAUUACUGCGAAAUCAAACGCUGUCUCUGUUCAGGUGCUCUACGCCUCCACCCUUUUCUCCCCUGUUCCCUUUUUAAUUUUCUUUUCGAGUAUUCUUGUUUUUGUGAAUUUGCAUAAACCCUAGGCAACAAAUUCGAAAAUUUCAUUGCCGAAUUAACAGUUUAUACUAUUUCAAACUUCUUCAAAAAGAAUUUCAGUGUAAAAUUUCCGAUUAUUGUUAUCUACCAAUUGAGUAACGCUUUUUCGAGGCUAGAUCAGUAUCGCGUCCGUGCUUAAUUAGAGAGGUGGGAGGCAUCAAGAGGGGCAGUACUGAAUUAAAGGUAUCAUCUUAUUACAUUGCAAUAGUGAGUUGGCAUUUGUUCACUACUUAUUGGGAUUGUUAAAUCUUAAAAGUUUAAACCUGGAGUUUUGAUUCGGUGCUGUCAACUGUGAUAGUAAUUUCUGUCAAUAUUGGGUACUGAGGUGGUGGCACUGAAAUUUGGUGAACUUUUGUGCAACUCUACUGGUAUUUUGAGCAGGGAUGUGAAUUUAGGGGGGAAUUCAUUGAGUUGAUGAUAGUAAUUAUAUGGGUUCAGCAGUGCUAAACUUUGUGCUAAAUCUGUGGCCUUUUACGGGCCUCAGAGUUGAUGACGUGACACUAUCUGAUCGUCUGGUUAGGAGAUUUUCACUUCCUGAACACACCCAGCAAUUUGUUUUUGCUAUUAGUGAGCCAGAAAAUGAGGCCAUUGUAUAUAUUCUUGCUGCACAAAAUUUGUCUGAAAGAUCAGCUAGAGAUGCUGAGUAUUUAAUAAGGGAAGUACGACCUGAUGCAGUUGUUGCCUUGGUUGGUCAUAAUACAUUGUCUGAAAUUCAUGAUCAUGAAAUGGUUGAAGGUAUGGAAGAUCUUGUUCCAACUUCAGUUUUUAGAGUUUUGAUGAGGUGUUUUAUGGACAAAAUAAACAAAGACAAUUAUGAAAAUCUUGCUGGAAACUUAGUUCUGAAAGAGAUAUUCGGUGUUGGCUUCUAUGGACACUUCUUUGUUGCAAAAAGGUUGGCAGAGGAAAUUGGUUCUUCAUUCUCGGUCAUUGAGUCUCCUUUGAUAAAGACAGCUAGUGCUGACAUUGAUCCUUCUACUGAGACUAGUAAAUCCAGUAACAUGCUUCAAACUUUGGCCUUGCAGCCAGCUAGCUUGGUUCCUCAAGAUUGGGGUUCCCUAGUUGGUAAUUCCCGAAGACUUAUGUAUAACAGUGAUGUCCAGUCGCAUAUGAUCACAUUGGUUUGUCCAUUCUUAUCCCAAUCAUUAACGAACUUGGGUAUUUCUGGCUCUCUUGAGGAUGGAGAGUCAGGUAUAAUGGAGUCCAGAUGCAAUUAUUGUCCCCCAUCAUUUGCCCAAACGGUUUAUCCCUUACUCAUGGAUCUUCAUAACAUUUUUGCUGACAUUCCAUCUAUAGGUCGUGCUCUGGCCUAUGCACAGAAAAUGUUUCUUGAUGUGGGUAAAGGAGAGGGCAUUGAUGCUGAUCUAUUGUCUGAAGUUUAUACCUUCAGAAUUGCAGUUGAGGGGCUGAGGAUUGCUCUGAAUAACGCUGGUAGACUCCCACUCCAUAAAUUAGGUAAAUGUAUGCCAAGCCAGAUUGAUUUUAAUGAGUUAUCAAUUGAGGAAAAAUCCCAUUGUCUUCUUGCCCAAACCCUACGCAGUCAGGCAAAGAAGUCUAAGACAGUAGUAGCAGUAGUGGAUGCUAGUUGCUUAACGGGUCUUCGGAAGUUUUGGAACACUCCAAUUCCCGAAGAAGUUAAGGAUAUGGUUGAAGAACUUAUCGUAUGCCAAGACAUUGAUGCAGAAAGCAUCAAUGAUAAAAGGAAGCGUCUGUUGUCUGGUAAACCUGUAGUGGCAGUUGCUUCUGGUGCUACUGCGGCUCUGGGGGCAUCUUCCCUUUCUAAAGUUGUCCCUGUGUCAUCUAUUGUAAAAGUUGUUAUGGUUAAUGUUCCAGCAUCUUUAAAACUUUUCCUUACACAAACACAUAAAGCAACUUUAUAUGCACUAACCAAAAUUCUUGGUCCAUCAAAAAUUGUGGCUCCGGGCUUUGCAACUUCUGGUGCUAAAGCAUCUACUGCACUUAAGGCAGCUGCUUCUGCGGAGAAAAUUCGAGUCAUUACUCAUAGUGUUAUAGCUUCUGCUGAAAAGACUAGCUUCUCAGCUAUGAGAACUACGUUCUAUGAGAUAAUGAGGAAACGACGGGUUCAACCGAUUGGUAGCAGGCCAUGGGCUACCUUUGGCUUUAGUGUGGUUAGCUGUGCGGGAUUGCUUGUUUAUGGUGAUGGAAUUGAAUGUGCUGCUGAAUCUUUCCCUGCAGCCCCUUCCAUUGCCAGCUUGGGCCGGGGUAUCCAAAAUUUGCAGCAAGUGUCACAAUCCAUUGGAAACUCAUGUGGAAAUAAGAUUCAGAAAGCUAUAGAGUCGUUGAUGUACAGGUUUAAAAAAGUGAAGAUCCAGUAGAAUGAGAAUCUAUGACUUCCUUUUUAUAUUAUCCUAGCUGUUAGUGGUAUUGAAUUCAUUGAUGAUACUUCAUCCCAUUGUCUGGAGAAUCAGGAGUACAUACAUAAUCCAACGAAGGGUGGGGGUUUGUAUUGAUGACUGGGCAGGAGUAAUAGGGCGGAGCCAGUGGUAAUGGAGUAGGGGCAGAAAAAGCAAGGUCUCAAGAAAUUUAAUGAGAAGAGGAAAAUCAAAGAAUAGGACAUCAAUCUGCUAUACAGGAAACUGUACAACCAAAAUAUCUGCCUUAUUACUACUGCUUUAGAGAUGAACCAGUUGAGCUUUGCUGCAAUUUUGUUUUGGUUUCUUUUGAAUUUUUCCUUUGGCUGAAAUGUUGAUGCUUAAUGUCUUUUGCUGGGUGAUUGAAAGGUAUUCUUUGUCAUUUGAUGUUUUCUGAGGUUGUAACGGAUAACUAUGCAUAUCUCUUCUAUUUUCGUCUCCAUUAAAUUGAGCAUUUCUGAUUUAUUACUUUGGUAUGAUUAAAGGCUCUUCUAUUUUGUCUCGUUUAUUGAUGCUUUACUAUUUGACUUUCAUGACAGGUUGGAUUACUAUCAAUUGAAAGGCCAUUUACCUGAAAUCAGAGGGACUACAAGGUCUAUGCAUUUUCCCCAUGGCAGUUACUGACCAGAAAAGACAAACAAAGGUAAUUUAUUUGUGUUUUUUGCCAUUAGGAUACUUUGUUAAGGUUUAAUCUUGUGCAUUUUCUGCAGUAAUUUUCUCAUUGACUUGCCUAUGUGCUAACUUGGCUGUCUGGCUAGAUUACGAUAUUUUUAUUAAAUUUAAAUUGAUAUUUUCUUCCAUAGCUCAUUUCAAAUGCACCUAGGCUACAUGGAUUAGUCUAUCACUUGUGCUUUUAUUCACUAGCCAUUCAAACGGUUUUAAUCUCAAGCAUUGUUAUCUUACUGGUUUGUUGGAGAUGUUUGAUGCAUGCAGCUAUAGCUUCCUGGGAUGAGAGAGAGAGAGAGAGAGAGAGAGAGAGAGAGAGAGAGAGAGAGAGAGAGGGGGGGGGGGGGACCUGUUAAAAAAGAUAUAGUAAGCCUUUUUGAAUGUCGUUUGAUUUUUCUUUGUUUGUCCUAUAUAAUUUUCUUAUUAAAUAUCUGUGUACUCAAAGUCUAUACAUUGCCAAAAUCGUCCAAAUUUAAUUGAGUUGUUGCCGGCUGCCUGCUUAUUUCCAUUUCUGUUACCCAUUUCAUUCAUAAUACUAUUUCUCUGUUAGAAAUAGAUGGAAUUUAUAUUAUAUAUGUUUAGGAUGUUUAAAUGGUUGGUGAUACUAAAAUUCCAAAUGAUAUACAAAAGUGAAUCAUAACAAUUAAUUUAAUUUGCAAAUUACAGAGCAUGUCAUUUAUACAAAUGAGUUUAACUCACAAUGGAAAGAAAUUAAUUACAACUUAUAUUUAAUUCAAAUUUCAUAGAGGUGGGUUUUGAAAAUUUGUUAGUGAAGAAUAGUUCAGCAUUAUUUCCCUCCAAAAAUUUACAAAUUCAAAAAAAUCUAAUGUCUCAAUAAAGUAGGUGAAUAAUCUAUUUCCUGGAAGAAUUGAUUGAAAUAAUUAAUUAUUGCACUAGACAGAAUGGAAAUUGCAGUGAAAAUAAUAUUACUUCCAGAAAGCACUCAUUUAUAUAAUUUCUUGUGUCUUGAGGGUGGAGAAGAGAAAAUUUUCUUCGACAAGCAGUUUGCAUUUGGUGACGGUGAGUAGAUAUUAGAGGUAAUUACCAUAUUUUUCUUCGACAAGCAAUUAGGUGAUGGUGAGUAGACAUUAUAGGUAAUUACCAUUAAUUGUUGGUAUUAGCUAGGCCUAGAAAGAUAGAGGUGAAGGCAAAGUAUUUUAGUGAGAUGAAAUAAGGAGAUAAAAGAGUCACAGGAAAAGGAGGAGAACGAGCUUGCUGCUGUAUUGGCUGCUACUUGUCUGUUGUUCACCUGGUGGUGACUGAUGAAUUCACAAGAGGAGAUAUGAUAGAAAGGGGAAAUUAGAAAAGCAGCUAGGUAGGUCUGGCUGUACGAGUUUUCAGUUGAAAUUCUCUACUUAUGGGCCUUUGUAGAUGAUUAUUAGGACAAGGAAUGAUUCUAUAUAUGCAAUUCAAUGGGCAUCCCAACACUAAGUUUAGUCAAUUCCAGAAUUUCUGAUGGUUUAUGUAUUGUGUAAGUUAAAUAAUUUAUAUAUAUACCUGAAAUCCUUUAUCCAGUUGCACCAUUUGAUUAUUUUUAGAAAUUGUUGUAUUGGAGUGGUAAGAUGUCAUUAACAUUUUGGUUUGAAAUAUGUACACCAACAAAAAAUAGUGGUUGCUUAAUUUGUACUCCGUAUGAUUGCUUUAGAUAGCUCUUCCUUGCCCUUCUCAUGUUUAAUGACUGUAACGUCUGUGAGGUUUUAAUACUGGAUGUGUUUUGGCUGGGUUGGAUUUAAAUUUCAGAGUUAAUCCUUAGGCAUAAUAUUUUGCAUUCCUCUUGAAUGCCUAUCUUCCACUUGUCAGAAAAUUCAUGGGUGCAAAAUAUUGCACUUAGGCUUCAUCUAUAGACCAACAUAGCUAAACUACUGAUUAUACGAAAAGGAGAACAAAUAUAGCCAUACAUGCACAGUUCAUGUCCUCUCUCCUCUCUUGAGGAUGCACAAACAAGAACUAAGCCAAGCAUAUAAAAGCAAGAUGGAGUAGCAUUCAAAUAUAGGAAGGGGAUUUGUAGUCGAUUAAAUCUCCCGAAUCUAUUUCAAGCAAGUUUAAGCACAAACAUCACCAAAUUAUUACUCUAAAGAAACUACAACAAUGAAUAGACUAAUGAACACAACAAUCAACAACCAAACUCAAUUGCUAAAUCAAGAGCCUACAAUCUAGCAUCAUCUCUAAAUGACUACGCUAGAAAGUAGCAAGUAAGCAUUCAUAUAGCCAUAAUAAACACCAACAAGAAACUUUCAAUUUAACAAACCACAACCAAUCAUACAUAUUCCUUGAUAUUCAAAUGAUCUUGGUUCAUAGUAUGGUUGAGCUUUCACCCAACCCUUAACUAAUAAACUACUAAUUAAUCAUACUAAUCAACUCAUGCAACAUUCUAACAUAAUUGAUUUCCAUGGAUAUCCUAUAGAUGAAUUAAAAACAAUCAAGAUUACAAAUAAUAAGAUAACCAACCCUGAUUAAGAUUAAUUCAACCAUAAACACUCAUUAAUAUGACAAGAAAGCAAGUUAAAUCCAUUAAAAGUCAACAACAAAGAGAAUAGAGUAGAGAAAAAGAUUACUAAGAGCUUUAAAUUCUAAAAUUUCACUUCAAAUUGUUUAACUUCAAUGUUGCUAAUUCAAGAUUACAUAAACUAAGGAAGAAAAAAGGCUAAAGCAGCUAGACCUAGAAAUAUGUGCUUAAAACCUAAACAUCUCUCCUCAUUGGCGAUCUCGCUGCUUUGUAUGCUAACUUAGAAAUUAAUUACAAUAUAAAGAUAGAAAACAAAGGUGUGAAACUACAACGGAGGCCAGGCGCGAAUGUGUUAGAAAGAUUUUAAAGAUGGAAUUUGUAGAUAGAGAACAUUGUGAAACACAACUAAUUAAGACUUCAUUAAUUAAUUUCCAUGCUUUAUGAGUACAAUAGAGAGGCUAUAUAUAAGCUUAACAUUAACAAACUAAAUCUAGAAAGUAGGACUCUCUAACUAACCCACUAACUGAUCCACCACUAGACUACUCCACUAAGUAAAAUAGUCCACUGCUAUUACUAAGCCAUGCACACCUCCACUAACCACUCAAUAGCUACCACACGUUUUUAAACAUAGGAAUUUAAUUUUGGCUUAGGAUUGAAACUGGAUUAGCUCAAAUACCAUCACUAAUGAUCUUAUUGUGAGUAAAGUGUUAAGAAGUCUUCACAAAAUGAAAGACUAUGAGCAUGCUAUUACCACAAUUUUAGAGUCUAAGGACUUAUCAACUUAAACAUUUGAUGAGUUGAUAGAUCUUUGAUGGCUCAUGAAGAAAGAAUGAAUAAGUCUACGAAUGAAAACGUUGAGGAGAAAACCUUUCAAGUUAAGGGGCAAAAAUCAGAUGAUCGGCAUUAUGAUAAAGGUCGUGGUCGUAGUCAUGGUCGCGGUAUGGGCAGUCGUGGUUGUGUUCGUGAUGGAGAUGGUCGUGGUUGAUUCGAAGGACAACGUUAAUCCAUGAGUAGCAUUCAAUGCUACUAUUGCAAAAGGUAUGGUCGAAAGAAGAAAUUACCAAACAAAUGAAGAACUUGGCGCUUGAGAUUUUGAAGGUUUAACAACGGAAAUUUGCUCUCUAUCUACUUUCUCUUUUUAAUAAUUAAGCUAAUCUUGGUUUAAAAUUUGAUAAAAUCCAUAUUACAUGAUAUAUACUACCUAUAAUCCCCCAAAAAUUAGCUCAAAAGAGCUUAAAAUAAGGUGAUUCAUACCCAUAGGUGCGACCACUCCAAAUAGCAGCACGAUCGCGCCUUCGAAUGGAGUAAUUGCUCCCGCUAAUCCAAAUGUUGAUGUAAAAAGUGAUAAAUGAAAGCAAAAGAUAAAGCUUAACAAAUAAUAAACUGAUAUUGCUUCUUCAUAAUUCUACGUGAUAAAAACUUAAGUACAAAAGAAAUUCUAUCAUUUAAAUAGGCUAACACUAAGCAUAAUUAACUUCCUAAUAUUAAGGCCCACUAAUAACAAACUACCACUCAAAAUUGGAGAAGUAUACUCCACAUACUACCACUAACAAUUCUUAUCAACUGUAUACAAAUUUAAUUGACUCCUAAGAUUAAGCCACUAACUACCUAAGGAAUAGGAAACAAUAACCACUUAAUAUUUUGAAGCAAUACACCAACACCAAAUACAUCACUAGGUCGUUCCUUUGCAAUCUUUAAGAGUGAUCGCUCUUAAUUUUAAAGCGGCCGCUUUAGGCCUUCUAUUCGAGCACUUGGAGAGCCAAAUGCACAUAGAUCAUAGCGUUUGCUCCUCUCCUCUGUUACUCCUUGUAUUUUUUUUUUUCAUUUCCAAGGACUUUGGGCUCCAAGUGAUGUUCCCGGAUCAUAAUAAUGAUGUUCCCGAGCAUUCUUUUUGAGGAAUCAUACAAACUCAUGAGCAAUAGGGAAGGGAUCAGGAUAGGAGGGAAAGCGAGCAUAAAUCAUUUUAAUUCAUGUAAUUAUAAUCAAAGUACUACCAAGUGAAGAGUAAAGAGAUUAGGUCAAACUACAAAAAAAGGGGUUAAUAAUGCGAGAUAAAGGACUAAAUUACGGGGUUAAUGAGUUAUAAAAGUGGCCUAAAAACCACUUAUUAUACACCCCUAACUUACAAACGAAACAAAAAAAGAAAAAAAAAAAA
Molecule: RNA transcript, 7801 nt
Organism: Chenopodium quinoa (quinoa)
Lineage: Eukaryota; Viridiplantae; Streptophyta; Magnoliopsida; Caryophyllales; Amaranthaceae
Exons: 3
Source: RefSeq, a predicted model, not a curated record